RNAcentral lists this transfer RNA (73 nucleotides) under Myxococcales bacterium. RNAcentral describes it as "tRNA-His". It matches the Rfam family "tRNA". From Rfam's summary of the family: Transfer RNA (tRNA) molecules are approximately 80 nucleotides in length. Their secondary structure includes four short double-helical elements and three loops (D, anti-codon, and T loops). Lineage: Bacteria; Pseudomonadati; Myxococcota; Myxococcia; Myxococcales. The record is from RNAcentral.
GCGAGUGUAGCUCAGCAGGUAGAGCGCCCGACUGUGACUCGGGAGGUCGUCGGUUCGAGCCCGAUCACUCGCC